Molecule: ribosomal RNA, 301 nt
Filed under: uncultured bacterium
Lineage: Bacteria
Description: partial 16S ribosomal RNA
Rfam family: Bacterial small subunit ribosomal RNA
Source: RNAcentral
CAGUCGCCGCGGUAAUACGAAGCGGGCUAGCGUUGUUCGGAUUUACUGGGCGUAAAGCGCACGUAGGCGGAUCGUUAAGUCGGGGGUGAAAUCCUGGAGCUCAACUCCAGAACUGCCUUCGAUACUGGCGAUCUUGAGUCCGGAAGAGGUGAGUGGAACUCCUAGUGUAGAGGUGGAAUUCGUAGAUAUUAGGAAGAACACCAGUGGCGAAGGCGGCUCACUGGCCCGGUACUGACGCUGAGGUGCGAAAGCGUGGGGAGCAAACAGGAUUAGAGACCCCCGUAGUCCCUGUCUCUUAUAC